CCGUUCAAUACUGCGGGGCUCGAGGGCAGAAGAGGGGGGUGGAAUUGCUGGUGUAGUGGUGAAAUGCGUAGAUAUCAGCAGGAACACCUGUGGCGAAAGCGGCCCCCUGGUCUGCUCCUGACACUCAGACGCGAAAGCUAGGGGAGUGAACGGGAUUAGAAACCCCGGUAAUCCUAGCCGUAAACGAUGGAUGCUAGGUGUGGGUGGUAUUGACCCCAUCCGUGCCGAAGCCAACGCGUUAAGCAUCCCGCCUGGGGACUACGGCCGCAAGGUUAAAACUCAAAGGAAUUGACGGGGACCCGCACAAGCAGCGGAGCGUGUGGUUUAAUUCGAUGCUACACGAAGAACCUUACCCAGGUUUGACAUGCAGGUAGUAGUGAAGCGAAAGCGGAACGAUCCUUCGGGAAGCCUGCACAGGUGCUGCAUGGCUGUCGUCAGCUCGUGCCGUGAGGUGUUUGGUUAAGUCCACUAACGAGCGCAACCCCUGUCGUCAGUUACAUGUGUCUGGCGAGACUGCCGGUCUUAAACCGGAGGAAGGUGGGGAUGACGUCAAGUCAGCAUGGCCUUUAUAUCUGGG
This 577-nucleotide ribosomal RNA is filed under the name uncultured bacterium. RNAcentral's name for it is "bacterial SSU rRNA". It matches the Rfam family "Bacterial small subunit ribosomal RNA", at positions 623 to 1212 of the family's 1533-position model. The record is from RNAcentral.